Molecule: long non-coding RNA, 586 nt
Organism: Sorex fumeus (smoky shrew)
Lineage: Eukaryota; Metazoa; Chordata; Mammalia; Eulipotyphla; Soricidae
Exons: 3
Source: RefSeq, a predicted model, not a curated record
UGCCCGAGGUUAUCCGAAGGAUGUCAAGGAAGAGGACGGGAGGACUCCAAGAGAGCUCACUCUCCAGGAUCGCAUCAGCGCUUGAGAGGUGGAGCCUAGCUGUUCCGUGACUAUAGGCAGAGGUGGGCCAGCCCUGGAACCUUAGGCUUUGCAGAUGAUAGAAAGGAGGAGCUGAAGGAUGAAGACGGAUCCAUGUCAGUGUGAAUUUGUGUUUCACAGCUGCUGUCGGGCAUUCCUCCAUUCCUCCAUUUGUUUCACUGGUUACAUGGAUGAUCCAUUCCAGGCCAACUCAAGUGUCCUAGUAGAGACUUCCUUGGUCUAAUAUGGUAGGUCCUUUUAAUGGAACUGAGUACUGUGUAUCUACUCUUCUCCAUUGCUACAGAGAUCUCCUCAGACACCGUUGCCAAAUAAAUUAACUAAGAAAGGAGACUGGGAGCAAAGGCAGCCAAAUAAAGACUUCCUUGAGUAGAAAGACCUAGUGCCCUCUUGCUGGAUUUCUGCUGGAAAAUUUGGGCAAAUGUCAUAUUUGGGAAGCAUACUUACAGAGCUGAGUCUGAGAACAAAUAAACAGGUUGUCAUGAGACUG